UUCACCAUGCCACACCAACAACGACAACAACAACUCAACGUCAUUGCGCUGAUAUCUGGCGGCAAAGACUCUCUCUACACCAUCCUCCACUGUCUUAAACAUGGACACAAGGUUGUUGCGCUCGCGAACCUCCAUCCGUCUCUGCAGCCACAGCGCAGCUCUAAUUAUGCUACAUACCUAACGGCGGGGUCGUUGCGAUGCGACGACCGGGAUGGAGAUGAUGUCCAAAAGGGUAGAGCUGGCGAGGAGGAAGGUAACGGAGAUGGACUGCUUGGCCAAUUGGGGAAAGAGGAGGAGGAGGAGGAGGAGGAGGAGGACGACGUAGAAGAAGAAGACCUCCACACUUACAUGUAUCAAACAGUCGGCCACAGUAUAAUCCCCCUGUACCAAUCCGCCCUGGACAUCCCGCUCUACCGCGCCCCAAUCCACGGCACAGCCAUCAACACAUCGCGCGACUAUCAGGAACCUCCUCCACCGUCAUCAUCAUCAACAUCAUCAACAUCAGCAACAGCAACAGCAACGGCAGCAGCAGCAGCAGCAGCAGCAGCAGCAACAACAGACGAAACAGAAUCUAUCUUCCACCUCCUCCAACAGAUACUAACGGUCCACCCAACUGCCAACGCCGUCUGCGCCGGCGCCAUCCUCUCCACCUACCAGCGUACGCGAGUCGAGAACGUCGCCAGCCGUCUGGGAUUGACCUCCAUGGCCUGGCUGUGGAUGUACCCAACCCUUCCACCGCCAGCGGAACGUGAGUUGGUCCCACCUCGCUCCCCCGCAGCCAUCGCGGGAUUGUUAGAGGAUAUGGCCGCGUGCGGCUGUGAGGCGCGGAUUAUUAAGAUUGCUAGUGGCGGGUUGGAUGUGGAAGAUCUGUGGGGG
RNAcentral lists this small RNA (876 nucleotides) under Histoplasma capsulatum var. duboisii H88. RNAcentral describes it as "Histoplasma capsulatum H88 hypothetical RNA". The record is from RNAcentral. Lineage: Eukaryota; Fungi; Ascomycota; Eurotiomycetes; Onygenales; Ajellomycetaceae.